GAGAAUGGGAAGAUACAGUGCAGUUGGAAGUGUUACUGAGAGAAUUUUCACAUUAUACUAUGAUCACUUGGGAUUCCUACAUAAGCUGACUCUGGGUCGCUUUGAAGCUAGUGGACCACCCACAACCUUUGGAAAUUCUAGAAAUCUUUUUGGACAGCCUCCAGAUAUGGGCUUUGAGACUGCGCUUGCCCCACAGCACACCUCCUUAGAUGAAAUUAUCUUUUUUGCAUAUGUACCUGAGAACGAACCCCAGGAAACGAUCUACAGCAAGAAGUUCAGCAAUAUACACUAUGGAAAAGUGAUACACUCUGGGUAGUGAUUUGCAUUUAUUUAGAUGGCAUAUUGGUUUCUAGAAUCUACUUUUUAAAUUUUUUGAGAUAGGGUCUUGCUCUGUCAUCCAGGCUGGAGUGCAGUAGUGCGAUGACAGCUCACUGCAGCCUCAACCUCCCAGGCUCAAGCAAUGCUCUGGCCCCAGCCUCCAGAAUAGCUGGGACUGCAGGCACACACCACCAUGCCCGGCUAAGUUUUGUAUUUUUUUGUAGAGAUGGGGUUUCACCAUGUUGCCCAGGCUGGUCUCAAACCCCUGAGCUCAAGGGAUUCACCCACCUCAGCUUCCCAAACUGCUGAGGUUACAAGUGUGAGCCACUGCACCUGGCCAAUAGAAUCUAAAUUUUUGGACCUACUUUUUUGAAUAAUUUUCUUGGUCAAAUAGAGUAAGUCUUUUUUUGACACCCUGCAAGGCCAAAUACAUUUAUAGACUCCAAGAUGUCUUGCAUGCUGCCCCAAUUUUAGAAACCUAGGACCAUUUAUAUCAGUGCCAUCAGGCCAAGCUAUAGAAAUGACAAUUCUUGUAUAUCCUAGAGACCAACACAUUUAAUGUAGUGGAGGCUAUCUUUUAUGAAAUAUUGCAUUGAACAAUAUACAGAAUUCUCGGAAAUGCUUACAGUAAGAGUCAAUAACCCUUAAAGCUACCUUUAAGGCCUAAUAACUUAUUCAGAAUAUGAAUUCUGGCUGGGUGCCAUGGCUCACACCUGUAAUCCCAGAACUUUAGGAGGCCAAGGCCAGCAGAUCAGUUGAGGCCAGAAGUUGGAGACCAGCCUGACCAACAUGGUGCAACUCCAUCUCUACUAAAAAUAAAAAAAA
This 1143-nucleotide small RNA is filed under the name Pongo abelii (Sumatran orangutan). Its description in RNAcentral is "retained intron". Lineage: Eukaryota; Metazoa; Chordata; Mammalia; Primates; Hominidae. The record is from RNAcentral.